RNAcentral lists this ribosomal RNA (450 nucleotides) under uncultured bacterium. Its description in RNAcentral is "partial 16S ribosomal RNA". It matches the Rfam family "Bacterial small subunit ribosomal RNA", at positions 354 to 796 of the family's 1533-position model. The record is from RNAcentral.
GUGGGGAAUUUUGGACAAUGGGCGCAAGCCUGAUCCAGCAAUGCCGCGUGCAGGAAGAAGGCCUUCGGGUUGUAAACUGCUUUUGUACGGAACGAAACGGUCCGGGUUAAUACCCUGGGCUAAUGACGGUACCGUAAGAAUAAGCACCGGCUAACUACGUGCCAGCAGCCGCGGUAAUACGUAGGGUGCAAGCGUUAAUCGGAAUUACUGGGCGUAAAGCGUGCGCAGGCGGUUUUGUAAGACAGGCGUGAAAGCCCCGGGCUCAACCUGGGAAUUGCGCUUGUGACUGCAAGGCUGGAGUGCGGCAGAGGGGGAUGGAAUUCCGCGUGUAGCAGUGAAAUGCGUAGAUAUGCGGAGGAACACCGAUGGCGAAGGCAAUCCCCUGGGCCUGCACUGACGCUCAUGCACGAAAGCGUGGGGAGCAAACAGGAUUAGAUACCCCAGUAGUCC